AUCAGCAAUAAACUAGGGGAAAGUUAGCUGGGAGGUCACUGCUCAGGACUGGCUGGGCAUCAAUCGUUUGGUGAGCAGAUUGUCUGAUCCUGAAGACACUGACAAGAAAUGAAUUAUUACUUUCCUCUUUGCUACUGUCAUAUUUUGGAGGAAUAGUUUGCUACUCCAGCAUGAUGUGAGCAAUCGUAAAGUCUUUCACAACAUCAGCACCUGCCUACAGUUCUACCUCAAUGUUGGGAGAACUCAUUCAACAGAAGGAAGCUAAAAUUGGCAAAAUACAGCUCCAUGCUUCAUUUGUCAACAGUUCUGCUCUUGAGUGAAGAAGACACAAAAGCUGCUCCUUCAUAUAAGCUAGACCUGAGGUUCUGGAACACACGAGCUUUUACUGAAAUCCCUUUUUGGACUGACUAAUUUUCUGAAAGAAGAUUUGCAAAGAUCUGAAUUGGUUCUCAGUGUAACUGCCUGCUAUGAAUUGAACUGACAUAGCUAAAAUAUUAAAGCAGUUUGUGAUAUUCUAAAAAAGUACAACAUUAA
Molecule: long non-coding RNA, 534 nt
Organism: Columba livia (rock pigeon)
Lineage: Eukaryota; Metazoa; Chordata; Aves; Columbiformes; Columbidae
Exons: 4
Source: RefSeq, a predicted model, not a curated record